Molecule: ribosomal RNA, 321 nt
Filed under: Wallaconchis comendadori
Lineage: Eukaryota; Metazoa; Mollusca; Gastropoda; Systellommatophora; Onchidiidae
Also listed under: 1 other name
Description: eukaryotic LSU rRNA
Rfam family: Eukaryotic large subunit ribosomal RNA
Source: RNAcentral
UCCGACCUCAGAUCGGACGAGAUUACCCGCUGAAUUUAAGCAUAUAACUAAGCGGAGGAAAAGAAACUAACAAGGAUUUCCCCAGUAACGGCGAGUGAAGCGGAAAAAGCCCAGCACCGAAUCCCUCAGUGUGACGCUGACGGGAACUGUGGUGUGUGGGACGCCACCAGUCGCAUCAGCGGGCGCCGAAGUCCUCCUGAUCGGGGCUUCACCCAUAGCGGGUGUAAGGCCUUUGCAGGUGCUUCGCUGUGCGGCCGCGAGCGUCCUAGGAGUCGGGUUGUUUGGGAAUGCAGCCCAAAGUGGGUGGUAAACUCCAUCUAA